GCCCAUGGCCAUAACGGAUCGUAUAUUCUACAGCUUUUAGUCUGAUAUUCUAUCAACUGUGGCACUUAUUGAUUUCUUACUAAUUAUUUUAUCUGCAUAAACUCACAGCAGCAAUGAGAUACGCUAUCUUCACCAUACUCUUAGCAACCCUCCUACACGUCGCUACUUCCAACCCUCAAUGCAGUAAGAAAAGCCUCAAGUGUAGGAGCACACUGGCAAGGAACUAUAUGGGAUGUCUAGUGAAGGGGUUCAAGUCUAAACGUCAUUGCCAGCCUCCUACAGUAAUGAACCUGCCUUUUGAAUCAGACUGUUGCACGAUCAUUGAGAAGAAACUGUUCAAGUGUAUGGACAAAGGACAGGUUACGUUUAACUGCAACGCCUACAAGGAUGAGAAAGAAGAUUAUUAAUCUUAGAAGAUAUCCCAAGCAGAGUUUAAAGUAGUAUCACCUUGCCAUGAUCUUAAACUGGAAAUUGUGAGACUUGCUGGAAAUGUGAUUCAAUUGUUACAACUUUAUUUAAUAUUUUGACUCGUUUAUUAAAUGGUUUUCAGUGUUACACAAUAUGAUAUUUUUUAACAAUUGCAUUUAAUAGACAA
This is a long non-coding RNA of Bolinopsis microptera, 595 nucleotides long. RefSeq lists it as uncharacterized. The record is from RefSeq and is a predicted model, not a curated record. Lineage: Eukaryota; Metazoa; Ctenophora; Tentaculata; Lobata; Bolinopsidae. The transcript has 2 exons.